GUGGAUGUUACCCAUUUCUUUCUUUGCGGUAUACUUCAAUUUAAUUGAAAACAAUGGUUUCCAAUCUGAAGGAUGCCGAAACAACAUGUUUCUACGUCACCAAAAAUUCCGCAUUAUAUUCAGUAACCUGGUUUUUUGGCCCUUCGUUUUAAUGGUGUAUAUUUAUAUUCAUAUCCUCUACAUAGUCAAGAGACACCAAACAAUAAGACUCCGCUUUUACGAAACGGGAUCUCCCGCUCAAAUAAGAACAACAUUACGCAAGAAUUCCAACAUUAAACAAAUGACACGAAACUUUAGAGCUGUCCACACAACGUUAUACAUACUCGGAAGUUUCGUAGUCGGAUGGAUGCCAGCAGUAAUAACGUUUGUGCUGGUUUGUGACGACUGCAUAUUGCAAUUAAAUAGGGUGUCGGCGCGUGUGAUAUUUUUUAUCCACGUUAUAAAUAAUGGUCUCAUUAUCCUAAAAACUUUGGUAAAUCCUAUUAUUUACGCCGCCCAAAUGGACGAGAUUAAGAUCGCCACGAGACGAAUGCAUGACGCCUUCUGCGGAUGGUCAAAGCUCACUCAUUUUACCACUGGCCGAAGGAUCAAUAGUGUUCGAAAAAGAACGGAAACAGAAAGAUCAAUCGGCGAGACCGCGCUAUAAACUCGUUAAGGUACUUCACGGAGUAAAAAGAAAGACCAAACUCAAGCGGCCGAAAAAAAUGGGUUCGAAAUACGGUGUCGGAAAAGCGCUGUAUGGAAGAAUAGAAAUUCUCUAGUAAGAAUUAAGACACCGAGUAAUGAUUUUUUAUUGGUUCCACCAUAUAUAAGGAAAAAGUAGUGUAUACAAAACAGAAUAUACAAAAUGAUAGAUGAUAAAAUGCCUAACUGUGAUGCAGAAGGUUGUAAAAAUUCCUCGAAGGAAGGUUAUAAAAUAUGUUCUAUUCCUAUAAAAAAUAAAGAAAGAUGUGCAAUUUGGGUUGCAAAUAUACCUAAAAAAUAUGCAAAAACUGGACACCUACAAAAUAUUCCGUAUUAUGUCAGAUUCAUUUUGAGCCUGAAAUGUGGGAACGACUUCAAGCGGAUAGCACAUUAAAAUUAAAACAUAAUGCU
RNAcentral lists this unclassified non-coding RNA (1095 nucleotides) under Acromyrmex echinatior (Panamanian leafcutter ant). RNAcentral's name for it is "octopamine receptor beta-2R-like, transcript variant X3". Lineage: Eukaryota; Metazoa; Arthropoda; Insecta; Hymenoptera; Formicidae. The record is from RNAcentral.